AAAUAAGUUUACAUACAUGACAGUGUUUGGCCCAGAGCAGGCACUCAGUGCACGUAAAGAGAUGGACUUCAGUGGAUCAAGCACUCAGGACUCCAAAGAGAGGUAUGGGGUGACGAGGAGGUCAAGCAGAAGGCAGAGCAGAUGAGAGACUGCUCUAAUCCA
This is a non-coding RNA of Kogia breviceps (pygmy sperm whale), 162 nucleotides long. The record is from RefSeq and is a predicted model, not a curated record. NCBI's taxonomy places the organism in Eukaryota, Metazoa, Chordata, Mammalia, Artiodactyla, Physeteridae.